UACGUAGGGUGCAAGCGUUGUCCGGAAUUGUUGGGCGUAAAGAGCUCGUAGGCGGUUUGUUGCGUCGGCUGUGAAAUCCCGAGGCUCAACCUCGGGUCUGCAGUCGAUACGAGCAAACUAGAGUGUUGCAGGGGAGACUGGAAUUCCUGGUGUAGCGGUGAAAUGCGCAGAUAUCAGGAGGAACACCGGUGGCGAAGGCGGGUCUCUGGGCAACAACUGACGCUGAGGAGCGAAAGCGUGGGGAGCGAACAGG
Molecule: ribosomal RNA, 253 nt
Filed under: uncultured bacterium
Lineage: Bacteria
Description: partial 16S ribosomal RNA
Rfam family: Bacterial small subunit ribosomal RNA
Source: RNAcentral